CUUUGCUGGCGACCGGCGCACGGGUGAGUAACACGUAUCCAACCUGCCCUUUACUCGGGGAUAGCCUUUCGAAAGAAAGAUUAAUACCCGAUAGUAUAAUGAUUCCGCAUGGUUUCAUUAUUAAAGGAUUCCGGUAAAGGAUGGGGAUGCGUUCCAUUAGGUUGUUGGUGAGGCAACGGCUCACCAAGCCUUCGAUGGAUAGGGGUUCUGAGAGGAAGGUCCCCCACAUUGGAACUGAGACACGGUCCAAACUCCUACGGGAGGCAGCAUG
This 271-nucleotide ribosomal RNA is filed under the name uncultured bacterium. RNAcentral's name for it is "partial 16S ribosomal RNA". It matches the Rfam family "Bacterial small subunit ribosomal RNA", at positions 83 to 353 of the family's 1533-position model. The record is from RNAcentral.